RNAcentral lists this small RNA (111 nucleotides) under Marmota monax (woodchuck). The record is from RNAcentral. Lineage: Eukaryota; Metazoa; Chordata; Mammalia; Rodentia; Sciuridae.
GCUGGGUGCAGUGACUCACAUCUGUAAUCCCAGCAACUCAGAAGGCUGAGGCAGGAGGAUCACAGACAAGUUCAAGGCUAGUGUCUGCAACUUAGUGAGACCCUGUCUCCA